AUGUCACGGUUGAAGAGGCUGGCGGCGCCCGCGCUGCUGGUGCUGCUUGCGCUGGCGGCGUCCGCGGCCGUGGCGGCGAAGACGACGCAGGACGGCGCGGAGGCGGCGCCGGGCAAGGAUGAAGAGUCGUGGACGGGGUGGGCCAAGGACAAGAUCUCCGAGGGGCUCGGCCUGGACAAGAUCUCCGAGGGGCUGGGGCUCAAGCACGACGCCGACAAGGAGGCCGCGCGCGAGACCGUCCAGCACACCGCCUCCGAGACGGGGAGUCAGGUGAGCGGCAAGGCAGCGGACGCCAAGGAGGCAGCCAAGGGAACGGUCGGGGAGAAGGCAGGGGCGGCCAAGGACGCCGUGUUGGAGAAGACGGAGUCCGCCAAGGACGCCGCGUGGGAGACAGCGGAGGCAGCCAAGGGGAAGGCCAACGAGGGAUACGAGAAGAUGAAGGAGAAGGCGUGGGAGGCCGUCGGCGCUACCAAGGAGAAGCUCGGGGAGGUGAAGGACAUGGUCACCGGCGCGGCAGCCGACGGCAAGGACAAGACGCACCGCAAGGAUGACGAGCUCUUUUUUGACCUAGACACAUUUGUCUCUGGUUUGGGAUAUGUGACUUGUGAUUUCUCGCGGUGGGAGUUGGAGUAUGUUGAGUACCUUGUUGACAAGCAUUAUCUCACCGGUGAUGUAGUUGUGGAUGCUAUUGGUGUGGCGGAGGAACGCGGGGAGGAACUUCUGGAAGCACAAGAACUGUUCUAUAUGAAUGGAUCUGACAGCUUGGGUAAGAAGGUUUUGAAGAAUGACAGUGUCAAUCUGAUGACCAGGCAGCAAGCUGCUGCACUGAUGAUGCUUGGGAGAGAGCUAGUGAUGCUCAUGAAGAUGCUGGUUGGUGUUGUGGUGGUGCUAAGUCUUGCGGCACUGGUGGUGAUCAUGCUGAAGAAGUGA
This 930-nucleotide ribosomal RNA is filed under the name Triticum aestivum (bread wheat). RNAcentral describes it as "partial small subunit ribosomal RNA". The record is from RNAcentral. Lineage: Eukaryota; Viridiplantae; Streptophyta; Magnoliopsida; Poales; Poaceae.